GGGCGCGGGGACGCUCCCUGGGCAUCCCCCUGACAGACAUUUUUGCCGCUCUCUGCAAGUGGUUUUGGAGCAUUUCCUUCGCCCAGCAGCCGGGCUGGGAAAGAAGGGCAGGUGGUCUGUUAUACAUCUAUUUUCUAGCUCUGCAAGGGAGUUUUCAUUCUCCUCUCCAUUCUACAGAUGAGGAAGUUGGGAGCCAGAGAGGUGAGGUGAUGUGAUUCCCAAUCCAGUGCUCUUUCAUGUCAGGACCGAUGAGAUUUAGCCUCAGGCAUGACAUAAAACUUACCACUUGGACCAUUUUUUAAGUGUACAAUUCAGGUUUCAGAGAGCCCUGAUUUUACAACAGAUGUCAUCUACUGAGAUCAAGUGAUUAAAAAAAAGAAAUCAACUGAUUAGAACUUCAAAGCAUAUGUAAAAAUCUACAUAUUAUUGCCUUAGAACAGAGCACUUUGUAAAAUAAAAGUAUUCUAUAAUCUAUA
Long non-coding RNA from Suricata suricatta (meerkat), 476 nucleotides. RefSeq lists it as uncharacterized. The transcript is spliced from 4 exons. The record is from RefSeq and is a predicted model, not a curated record. Lineage: Eukaryota; Metazoa; Chordata; Mammalia; Carnivora; Herpestidae.